GCACCUUAUAAAUACCGGCACUGUUGUUCUGUGCGCUCAGUUUAUAUUGAACGGUGCUAUAGAGAACAACUCAUAUAAAACUAACGAAAAAGCUGAUAAAGCGACGAAACACUAAACAUAGAUUUCAAAACAUUCGAGAAACAACAUACAUACAUAUUGCAGAAAGAAAAGAAAAUACAUACAAAUUUUAUAGAGACUUUGAUUUUGGUGUAACAUUUCACUUUUGGGUGGAAACUACAAAGCAAAAAAAUGUUGCGAGGUAGCGUUUUAUUGCUAACACUACUAGCCAUAUUCGGCUAUCUACAGGCGUUGCCAUACUAUGGAGAUUUACAACAAUAACAUGCACUACAGAAUAACAAUGUUUAACCAGAUAACCGGGCAAGUACACAGUACACUUUGGCAAAAACAUUUUUUUAAACUUAUUUAUUUUAUUUAAAAAAGUACUCGAUUUGUGGAGGCACCCUAAUGUACAUAUGUAUAUACAUACAUCCAUAUGUAUGAGGCUAUCAUGCGUGAAUAAUGUGUAUUUCUAAAAAUAUACUAUAUGUAGGUACACAUAUAUGUACAUAUGCAUAUACCUUCACUUACCUACACCACAUAAGUAUGUAUAAAUGUACAUCAUCAUUUGAUUUAUUACUUCUAGUAAUUUCUCAAUUAACGGUCAUGCAUGCAGCAGCCAUCAUUUCAAUUUAAAGUGAAAUUACGUUGCAAGGCAAUUGAAAUGAAAGCGCACAGUUGCAGCAGAUUUAAA
Molecule: long non-coding RNA, 751 nt
Organism: Rhagoletis pomonella (apple maggot)
Lineage: Eukaryota; Metazoa; Arthropoda; Insecta; Diptera; Tephritidae
Exons: 3
Source: RefSeq, a predicted model, not a curated record